GACCGCUUCGUUAAGGUGUUCGUGAUCGCUUUCUUGCUGUGACAGCAGCUGUUGUUCAUCCAGCAUUUGCUGGUGCAACUGCGGCAGCUCUUC
RNAcentral lists this transfer RNA (93 nucleotides) under Serratia quinivorans. RNAcentral describes it as "tRNA-Ser(gct)". Lineage: Bacteria; Pseudomonadati; Pseudomonadota; Gammaproteobacteria; Enterobacterales; Yersiniaceae. The record is from RNAcentral.